UCUCCUUUUAAUCCGCAUCCUGGAAACCCUAGCUAGCCUUCCCUCUCUGCCGCCGCCACUCCCUUCUUCUCCCUUCACCUUUCUAAUUUUUCUCUGUGAGCUAACGAAGAAGAACCUGCCACCACCGUCCUCACCAUGGCUCCGACGCUACAUACCUCCCUUCGUCUAUCCGAGACCACCACCAGAACCGCCUUGCUCUCCUCUUCCUCCACACCCAAGGAAUCGGCCUGGGGCUCUCUAAAUCGACGGUGGAAUCGCUGAUUCCGCCUCCAACUCCGGCGAGUAAUUCGUCAAUUCCGCCGCCCUUGUGCUCCUCCGGCCAAACUGAGCACAUCUCCGGCUUCCCCAUGUUCAGGCGCACCCUCGACGCCCUCGCUUUCGUCCUCUUUCGCUCGCAGCCGUCAAGUCCUUCUCAGACCAGGUCGUCCGCCAUGGCCGCCUUGCCCGAGCUCCGCCUCUAUCUGCUUCUAGUUGACGGGCGACCCACAACCAUCACCAUCUGAACUAGCAGCCCAGUGAUCUCGCGGAGAGAGAUGCUUCAUAUCAGGAGGAGUCUUUCCAGUACCAACAUCAGCAUGCAGCUUAGCUGGUUCGUUCCCUCUAAUGCAACGUGAGAUGUAGAGUUCAAUACCCCGGAGAGGCGAAUUAAUCCCUCUCCAAUCUUUUUCUUCUUCAGAUGAGAGUGGACAUUUAGAGUCCACACCAUGUAUACUGCAUCAAGAUCCGUGCUAAAAAAAAUUUGUUCCCCUCUCAAACAAUUUCUCAUUUUUGUAUCUCUCACACUACAUAUUUUUUGAAGUCAAAACCUUGCAGAUCAUUUAAA
Lolium perenne is the source of this 823-nucleotide long non-coding RNA. RefSeq lists it as uncharacterized. The record is from RefSeq and is a predicted model, not a curated record. Lineage: Eukaryota; Viridiplantae; Streptophyta; Magnoliopsida; Poales; Poaceae.